AGGGUGUAAACGCUGCAGACUUGGUGUUGGAAGCCCUUUGGGGGCAUUCAGUGCCGGAGAGAAGUUGUUAAGUCUGCUACUUGGGGAGUACGUCCGCAAGGAUGAAACUUAAAGGAAUUGGCGGGGGAGCACCGCAACGGGAGGAGCGUGCGGUUUAAUUGGAUUCAACACCGUAAAACUCACCAGGGAAGACUGUUACAUGAAGGCCGAGAUGAAGACUCUGCUAGAUUUUCAGAGAGGAGGUGCAUGGCGUCAGUG
This 258-nucleotide ribosomal RNA is filed under the name uncultured archaeon. Its description in RNAcentral is "partial 16S ribosomal RNA". It matches the Rfam family "Archaeal small subunit ribosomal RNA", at positions 748 to 1005 of the family's 1478-position model. The record is from RNAcentral.